GAUGAACGCUAGCGGCAGGCUUAACACAUGCAAGUCGAGGGGCAGCAUGAUGAAACUUUCGGGUUUCAUUGAUGGCGACCGGCGCAAGGGUGCGUAACGCGUGAGCAACUUGCCCUUAUCAGGGGGAUAACCGGUGGAAACGCCGACUAAUACCCCAUAGCAUCAACUUUAGGCAUCUUUAGUUGAUUAAAGAAUUUCGGAUAAGGAUAGGCUCGCGUGACAUUAGCUAGAUGGCGGGGUAACGGCCCACCAUGGCGACGAUGUCUAGGGGUUCUGAGAGGAAGGUCCCCCACACUGGAACUGAGACACGGUCCAGACUCCUACGGGAGGCAGCAGUGAGGAAUAUUGGUCAAUGGAGGCAACUCUGAACCAGCCAAGUAGCGUGAGGGACGACUGCCCUACGGGUUGUAAACCUCUUUUGUCGGGGAAUAAACCGCGCCACGUGUGGCGCCCUGCAUGUACCCGCAGAAUAAGGACCGGCUAAUUCCGUGCCAG
This 495-nucleotide ribosomal RNA is filed under the name uncultured bacterium. RNAcentral describes it as "bacterial SSU rRNA". It matches the Rfam family "Bacterial small subunit ribosomal RNA", at positions 28 to 511 of the family's 1533-position model. The record is from RNAcentral.